This is a long non-coding RNA of Macadamia integrifolia, 1204 nucleotides long. RefSeq lists it as uncharacterized. The transcript is spliced from 2 exons. NCBI's taxonomy places the organism in Eukaryota, Viridiplantae, Streptophyta, Magnoliopsida, Proteales, Proteaceae. The record is from RefSeq and is a predicted model, not a curated record.
GCAAGGAUUCCCCUCCGAACUCAUCUUCCCCGUCUCCGACUCUAUCUCUCCCUCUGGUCAUGCUCAAGCUCUCACCAAAGAAUAGUAAAAGUGUUGUCAUUGUUCAAGAACGUCUAUCCAGCAAAGUAUCUCUUUGUGCAGUUGAUAUUUUCAAAAGGAAAUCGGGGUUUUAGGGUUUUAGAAAUCCUGAGUCUUGUUCGUCAUCGUUGCCGGCUCAACCUCUCCUUGAAGUGGCCAUCGAUGGCUGAAGAACGCGUAUGCAGAAAAAAAUUUCUUUGUGCCGUUAACAUUUCAAAAAAUAAAGGGGAUUUGGGUUUUAGAAAUCCAGAAUCGAAGUCCUUGCUAGCGAUUUGGGCGACAUUGGAAUAAUCCAUCUCUACUUCUUGAGAUAAUCUCUACAUUUACUCUCUCAUUCUGGAUCGGACGGUAUCAUUGAGUCGGAUUCUAGUAUGUUUUCACUGAACAAUCAGCAAAAGAGGUUGAAGAAGGCAUGGAGGAAGAGAUGGUUGCUAAGGAAGCUAAGUAGUGGAAUGGGCAAAGCAAGCGCAUGGUAGAGUGAAUGUGUUUGUGACUCCUGAUGUUUCAGGUGUUGACGAAAGAUUCAAGUGACAUGAUGCACAGGUGAUCUGGUGGAGCUAGGGAAGUUAAACAACCAACAAUAUAAUCUGUCAGCUGAUAAGGGUAGUUUGGUUAUUUGAUAGUGUGGCAGAUGUAUCUGGACAUAGUGGAUGGUAUUUGGAAGCAUAUUACAAUCGUACAAAGGCUUUGGCAGUGUUUAGAAGCAGCAAGUGAAGACCCCAUACAGUUAAAGUUUCAAAAUCACAUGUUCAUGCAGUGGCAGUGUAUUCAGAUCUAAUUUUGGAAGGCUUAAUGGCAGAUCUGAAUUCUACAUGAAAAAUGAAGCUCAUUGAGUUGUGAUUCCAAUGCAAGUUGAAUUGCAUCAUUUCGAUGUUGGACAAAGAAGUUAUGGCAAAUCUCAUACAAUCACACUGAAACAAAACGAAUUGGGAGAGCCCCUGAGAAUUUAUAGAGAAAGAUAUUAUUAUUCAGUUAGAUUUGUUGUCGCUUGCUUUUUAGUAUCUGAAUCUUUAGCUCAGAAAGGAAGAGCAUUUGGGAUUCCUCAAGAGAUGGUGGUUCGAAUCCAUUAAGACUCAUUGAAUGGAUUUCAUGUCUCAUUUUAUGAAAUCUUAUAAAAUGAGUGCAA